This is a non-coding RNA of Gossypium hirsutum (cotton), 105 nucleotides long. NCBI's taxonomy places the organism in Eukaryota, Viridiplantae, Streptophyta, Magnoliopsida, Malvales, Malvaceae. The record is from Rfam.
AUCCCGUGGUGAAGGCAUUGCGUAAUAACUCUUUGAAUCUUUCUCAUGCCUUGUAUAAGGAUUCAUCAUCCAUUUGUUUAAAAGAAGUGAUCUCAUUCCACAACU